GACGAACGCUGGCGGCGUGCUUAACACAUGCAAGUCGAACGAAGAGCGAUGGAAGCUUGCUUCUAUCAAUCUUAGUGGCGAACGGGUGAGUAACGCGUAAUCAACCUGCCCUUCAGAGGGGGACAACAGUUGGAAACGACUGCUAAUGCCGCAUACGAUCUGACCUCGGCAUCGAGGAUAGAUGAAAGGUGGCCUCUAUUUAUAAGCUAUCACUGAAGGAGGGGAUUGCGUCUGAUUAGCUAGUUGGAGGGGUAACGGCCCACCAAGGCGAUGAUCAGUAGCCGGUCUGAGAGGAUGAACGGCCACAUUGGGACUGAGACACGGCCCAGACUCCUACGGGAGGCAGCAGUGGGGAAUCUUCCGCAAUGGACGAAAUUCUGACGGAGCAACGCCGCGUGAGUGAUGACGGCCUUCGGGUUGUAAAGCUCUGUUAAUCGGGACGAAAGGCCUUCUUGCGAAUAGUUAGAAGGAUUGACGGUACCGGAAUAGAAAGCCACGGCUAACUACGUG
RNAcentral lists this ribosomal RNA (510 nucleotides) under uncultured bacterium. RNAcentral describes it as "partial 16S ribosomal RNA". It matches the Rfam family "Bacterial small subunit ribosomal RNA", at positions 28 to 507 of the family's 1533-position model. The record is from RNAcentral.